Paramuricea clavata is the source of this 294-nucleotide non-coding RNA. NCBI's taxonomy places the organism in Eukaryota, Metazoa, Cnidaria, Anthozoa, Malacalcyonacea, Plexauridae. The record is from the annotation of a GenBank genome assembly.
ACUGUACAAAAUUUCAGACAAUUUGGUUUAGUUUAAGCCCCUUAACUAUUCACGCAAAGUUACAAUUUUCCCGAAAAAUCGGCUAUUUGCAUGCUUAAUUAAUGCAUUUGCCUAAUUUGCAUAUGUCAGCAAUAUGCAAAUUAGAUAAAGGCAUUAUUAAGCAUGCGAAAGGCUGACUUUUUAGAACAAAAUGAAUAGUUAAAAGGCUUAAACUAAACCAAAUUGUCUGAAAUUUUGUACAGUGAUUAAAAACCCGACAAAUUUUUAAUCUAUUAACUCAAAAUAUGAUUACAG